This 497-nucleotide ribosomal RNA is filed under the name uncultured bacterium. RNAcentral describes it as "partial 16S ribosomal RNA". It matches the Rfam family "Bacterial small subunit ribosomal RNA", at positions 28 to 507 of the family's 1533-position model. The record is from RNAcentral.
GAUGAACGCUGGCGGCGUGCCUAAUACAUGCCAGUCGAGCGAACGGACGAGAAGCUUGCUUCUCUGAUGUUAGCGGCGGACGGGUGAGUAACACGUGGAUAACCUACCUAUAAGACUGGGAUAACUUCGGGAAACCGGAGCUAAUACCGGAUAAUAUUUUGAACCGCAUGGUUUAAAAGUGAAAGACGGUCUUGCUGUCACUUAUAGAUGGAUCCGCGCUGCAUUAGCUAGUUGGUAAGGUAACGGCUUACCAAGGCAACGAUGCAUAGCCGACCUGAGAGGGUGAUCGGCCACACUGGAACUGAGACACGGUCCAGACUCCUACGGGAGGCAGCAGUAGGGAAUCUUCCGCAAUGGGCGAAAGCCUGACGGAGCAACGCCGCGUGAGUGAUGAAGGUCUUCGGAUCGUAAAACUCUGUUAUUAGGGAAGAACAUAUGUGUAAGUAACUGUGCACAUCUUGACGGUACCUAAUCAGAAAGCCACGGCUAACUACGUG